CAUCAAUAAGUGCAUCGGCGACGUCGUCCCCACAGUAACCGACAAUGACCCAACACACCUCCAGGCUGUGUACAAUCAGCGAUUUCCCCUUAUAGAAUGCUAGCACAAAUGAGAGUUUAGUCAGGAAUAGCCAUGAAAAGCAAUUUUUUUGGAAGACGAGAUCACGGCGAUGGUAGAGGAGAUUGAAGACAGGCAACACGUAUUAUUUGGUGGACUAAAUAGUGGAUUGACAAACAAAGCCAAACAGGUAGCUUGGGAGUGUAUCGCCACUGCAGUGAAUGAGGUGGAGCAUCAAGACAGAACUGUGGCUGAUGUGAAAAAGAAAUGGUCUGACCUUAUUAAACUGCAAGGGAAAAAAAGAAUAGCCAUACAUAACCGCAGCAUUAAGGCAACGGGAGGGGGGCCUGGCACGCCGGAGCUCUCCCAACUGGACCAGCGCAUUGGGGAAAGCGCAUACACUGGCACAUGCUCUGACAGCGACAGUGAAUGUUUCAAAAAAGGAAUGGCCAAUGAACCAGAAGUAGAAACCGCUAACUCAUAUCCGKUUUUUAGGACUACAAGCUGGUGACCUCUAUUGCUGGCGUGAUCCACUAAGGCGGUUCCCCAGCUGACCUCUGUUAUUAAGACACCCAUGCUGACUGGAGUCCCACUGUGAAGAUGAGCAAUGCUGCAGAAGCAUCCGUUUCUACUUCGUCCUUUUCCAAAUAUGAAAGAAGACUUCCCUCAAUUAUACAAGAUGGUUGUUAUAUGUGCUUUGGUCAAUCUGAAUGAUUCGGAUGUGCCAUUUGAGUAGAGCACCUUCACCUUGUCAUGACUAAAGUUCCCCCUUAAACUGUAUGAAUAUAUAAAAUGUAAUUUGGAAUGUGUAAAAUACUGUUUAUGAUAUUGUAAACAUAAUGUACUUUAACAAUAGGCUACAUUGUUACAAAAUAUGUAAUGUCAGCACAAGGCAUGUACAAAAUCUAGUAUAAUGACUAGCUUCAUAUACAUUGUCUGCUGGUAUCAUUUUUAAAUUGAGAAGAUAUAUGUAAACAGUGUGUGAUGCUUCAGAUGCACAAUGUCAAGGGGUGCAAUGCAAAUGCCCAAAAGGCAAAUGCCAUUACACUGUAGGCCAGUGGUUCCCAACUCCAGUCCUUGAGUAUCCCCAACAGUACAGCUUUAGUGUAGCCCCAGACAAACACACUUGUCAACUAAUUAUCAGGCCCUCAAUGAGUUGAAUCAGGUAUGUUUGUCUGGGGCUACAAAAAAAAUKGUGCUGU
Molecule: non-coding RNA, 1259 nt
Organism: Salvelinus sp. IW2-2015
Lineage: Eukaryota; Metazoa; Chordata; Actinopteri; Salmoniformes; Salmonidae
Source: RefSeq, a predicted model, not a curated record